ACUCGGCUGGCUCAGUUGGUGGAGCAUGUGACUCUUGAUCUUGGGGUUGUGAGUUCAAGCCCCAUGAUGGGUG
Molecule: transfer RNA, 73 nt
Filed under: Felis catus (domestic cat)
Lineage: Eukaryota; Metazoa; Chordata; Mammalia; Carnivora; Felidae
Also listed under: 5 other names
Rfam family: tRNA
About the family: Transfer RNA (tRNA) molecules are approximately 80 nucleotides in length. Their secondary structure includes four short double-helical elements and three loops (D, anti-codon, and T loops).
Source: Rfam by way of RNAcentral